CCUACGGGAGACUGCAGUGAGGAAUAUUGGUCAAUGGGCGCGAGCCUGAACCAGCCAAGUCGCGUGAGGGAUGAAGGUUCUAUGGAUCGUAAACCUCUUUUAUAAGGGAAUAAAGUGUGGGACGUGUCCUAUUUUGUAUGUACCUUAUGAAUAAGGAUCGGCUAACUCCGUGCCAGCAGCCGCGGUAAUACGGAGGAUCCGAGCGUUAUCCGGAUUUAUUGGGUUUAAAGGGUGCGUAGGCGGCCUUUUAAGUCAGCGGUGAAAGUCUGUGGCUCAACCAUAGAAUUGCCGUUGAAACUGGGGGGCUAGAGUAUGUUUGAGGCAGGCGGAAUGCGUGGUGUAGCGGUGAAAUGCUUAGAUAUCAGGAAGAACCCCGAUGGCGAAGGCAGCCUGCCGGGCCAUGACUGACGCUGAGGCACGAAAGCGUGGGGAUCAAACAGGAUUAGAUACCCUUGUAGUC
This 460-nucleotide ribosomal RNA is filed under the name uncultured bacterium. Its description in RNAcentral is "partial 16S ribosomal RNA". It matches the Rfam family "Bacterial small subunit ribosomal RNA", at positions 338 to 795 of the family's 1533-position model. The record is from RNAcentral.